Molecule: ribosomal RNA, 463 nt
Filed under: uncultured anaerobic ammonium-oxidizing bacterium
Lineage: Bacteria
Description: bacterial SSU rRNA
Rfam family: Bacterial small subunit ribosomal RNA
Source: RNAcentral
UCGCAAUGCCCGAAAGGGUGACGAAGCGACGCCGCGUGUGGGAAGAAGGCCUUCGGGUUGUAAACCACUGUCGGGAGUUAAGAAAUGUAAGGAUGUUAAUAGCGUCCUUACUUGACUAAGGCUCCGGAGGAAGCCACGGCUAACUCUGUGCCAGCAGCCGCGGUAAUACAGAGGCGGCAAGCGUUGUUCGGAAUUAUUGGGCGUAAAGAGCACGUAGGCGGCCCUGAAAGUCAGUUGUGAAAGCCUUCCGCUUAACGGAAGAACAGCAUCUGAUACUACAGGGCUUGAGUGCGGGAGGGGAGAGUGGAACUUCUGGUGGAGCGGUGAAAUGCGUAGAUAUCAGAAGGAACGCCGGCGGCGAAAGCGGCUCUCUGGCCCGUAACUGACGCUGAGUGUGCGAAAGCUAGGGGAUCAAACGGGAUUAGAUACCCCGGUAGUCCUAGCCGUAAACGAUGGGCACUAA